CGGCGAGUCCCGGGCAGCCGCCCGACCCGCGGCGCUCUGCCCAUCUUGCAGGGAAGUGGUCAUUGUCGCCGGCCGGGGAGCUCGGGCGUCAUGGGAGACCCGGCGCGUGGGGAGAAGGAGGUCGGGCGGCGGGAGGCGAGGUGCCGGCUCGGCAGCCCGAGCACGCUGCAGGUGAAGAGCACAGUCUGCGAAGAGGGUACAGUCUUGCUUCCUGUUGUAUCCUAGGGCCCCACGUUGAGCCUAAUACAUAGUAGCUUCUCGUUCUUUUGCCUAUCUCAAGCAACAUUUAAAGAAAUUUAAGGGCUUCCCUGGUGGCGCAGUGGUUGAGAAUCUGCCUGCCAAUGCAGGGGA
Eubalaena glacialis (North Atlantic right whale) is the source of this 351-nucleotide long non-coding RNA. RefSeq lists it as uncharacterized. NCBI's taxonomy places the organism in Eukaryota, Metazoa, Chordata, Mammalia, Artiodactyla, Balaenidae. The transcript has 3 exons. The record is from RefSeq and is a predicted model, not a curated record.